Molecule: ribosomal RNA, 460 nt
Filed under: uncultured bacterium
Lineage: Bacteria
Description: partial 16S ribosomal RNA
Rfam family: Bacterial small subunit ribosomal RNA
Source: RNAcentral
CCUACGGGUAGCAGCAGUGAGGAAUAUUGGUCAAUGGACGAGAGUCUGAACCAGCCAAGUAGCGUGAAGGAUGACUGCCCUAUGGGUUGUAAACUUCUUUUAUAUGGGAAUAAAACGUUCCACGUGUGGGAUUUUGUAUGUACCAUAUGAAUAAGGAUCGGCUAACUCCGUGCCAGCAGCCGCGGUAAUACGGAGGAUCCGAGCGUUAUCCGGAUUUAUUGGGUUUAAAGGGAGCGUAGGUGGAUUGUUAAGUCAGUUGUGAAAGUUUGCGGCUCAACCGUAAAAUUGCAGUUGAAACUGGCAGUCUUGAGUACAGUAGAGGUGAGCGGAAUUCGUGGUGUAGCGGUGAAAUGCUUAGAUAUCACGAAGAACUCCGAUUGCGAAGGCAGUUCACUGGACUGCAACUGACACUGAGGCUCGAAAGUGUGGGUAUCAAACAGGAUUAGAUACCCUAGUAGUC